This is an RNA transcript of Aptenodytes forsteri (emperor penguin), 2085 nucleotides long. It is a transcript of the gene named G protein-coupled receptor 157, with no coding region annotated. Lineage: Eukaryota; Metazoa; Chordata; Aves; Sphenisciformes; Spheniscidae. The record is from RefSeq and is a predicted model, not a curated record. The transcript is spliced from 5 exons.
GCCGCCCUCCCGCCAGCUCUCCGGCAGAGCCCUCCCGUCCCGCUCCCUCCCAGAGCGCAGCUGGGUGUUUGGCUCCCCUCCCGGCUUCCUCUCCCUCCCUCCGCUGCUUUGCUGCCCGGCUGUUCCUGGGACUGGUGCCGUCUCCUUGUGCCCUGCCUCCGUCUGCGGCAUGCCCGGGCCUUUGCCCCCCACAGAGGUGUACGCCUCGGAGCGGGUCGUCGUGCUGGUCUCCUGUGUGCUUUCCUUCUUGGGUUCCAGCCUCCUGGUUUGCACCCAUGCCCUGUGGCCGGAGCUGCGGACCCGUCCCCGCCAGCUCCUGCUCUACCUGUCGCUGGCGGACCUCCUCUCAGCCCUCUCUUACUUCUACGGGGUGCUACAGGACUUCGACAGGACCUCGUGGGACUGCGUGCUGCAGGGUGCCCUGUCCACCUUCUCCAACACCAGCUCCUUCUUCUGGACCAUGGCCAUUGCCCUUUACCUCUAUAUCACCAUUGUGAGGGGCUCGCCCACAGGCACAGGCUUGCUCUGCUGCUUCCAUGUCGUGAGCUGGGGAGUCCCCCUUGGCAUUACGGUGGCUGCUGUUGCUCUGAAGAAGAUUGGCUAUGACGCCUCCAAUGUUUCUGUGGGCUGGUGUUGGGUCAACUUGGAUGCAGAGGAUCGGGUCUUGUGGAUGUUGUUAACGGGGAAAGUUUGGGAGAUACUGGCCUAUGUGACUUUGCCGGUGCUCUACGUCCUCAUCAAGAAGCACAUUAAUAGAGCGCACGCAGCUCUCUCAGAGUAUCGCCCCAUUCUCUCAAGAGCACCUGCAUUUCAGCCCCGGACUUCCAUAGCAGAUAAGAAGUUGAUUCUCAUCCCUGUCAUCUUUAUCAUCCUCCGCAUCUGGAGCACUGUGCGAUUCAUUCUGACCCUCUGUAACUCUCCUGCAGUGCAAAAUUCAGUCCUGGUUGUCCUGCAUGGAAUUGGUAACACGUUCCAAGGAGGUGCCAACUGUAUUAUGUUUGUCCUCUGUACGCGGGUGGUCCGGACUCGGCUGUUUUCCUCCAUUUGUUGUUGCCACUACGACGAGUUGGACUGGCCUUUGCAAAGAUCAAACAACCACUGGCAGUGCCCAGAACCCCACAAGAACAAGGAUGUGCCAGGCCCUGAGCGGACGAAACCCCUGCUUUCCAGCACCUGAGCCUGGGCUGCCUACAUCUCAGUGUUGAUUUCUUCCUUCUUGGUAAAGAUCUAGUGUGCGGGAUCAUCCCAGAGUCCCACAGAGGGAGCUAAAGCCUGGGGAAAAGCACCGCUGGAGUGGCUGAGCAAACGGAAGAGGUCCGGCUCCUCCUCGGCAUUCAGAUACCAGCUGCUUUGGUCUUGAACUUUGCUCAGGAUCCCCUGGAAGAUACUGUUCGGCUGUACUCCAGCUUCCUGGUUUUCUUCCCUCCUUCCCCUCACCCUCCACUAUAAAUCUUAAAAACUGUUUGGGGUUUUGCUUUUCUGUCUGACAAGGCAAAUGUGUUGUGAGUUCUGGGGUGAACAAAUAUCAUGGUGACAGGAAAACUUUAGUAGCUGCUGAACUGGACUAUCCUGGGCAUGGUUUUGAGUCCUAGUGUGUGAGGACUUCCAGGGAGCUUCAGACUGGCUCCUGUUCUUCACUUGAAUGUGGACAAUAGGGUGCAAACAUGCCUGUCUUGUGGUGGUGAUGGAUGGUUCUUCUACGGUUUAUUCCUCCUCCUUGGUGGUUAGGGGUCUUCAUCAGGGUUUGUGGUGGCAGCACGGUUAUUGCCUCCUGAGGAAAUCUGAACUCUGCAGACUCCCUUGGUGCUCAGGGAUAUCUGGGUGUACCACCCCAGCCUCCAGCAAGGACAGCCCUCACCAGCAGCAAGACGGUGCCUGGCACGUGCUCCGAACUCCAGAUGUCUUCUGCCGAAGCACAGGCUACGGUCUGUUCUUGCUUUGGGAGUGUUACAUCAGAGCUGGGGAGGGGAUGGUUUUUUGUUUGCUAUUUGGAGAUAGUGUUUUACCUUAUUUACAGCUCCUCACUUGCUUGUUUUUUAAAUAUUUUAUCCAACUUUUACAAAAUAAAGUUUUGUUUUUUUACCA